This 214-nucleotide long non-coding RNA is filed under the name Capsicum annuum. RNAcentral describes it as "long non-coding RNA (CANN_LNC009347)". The record is from RNAcentral. Lineage: Eukaryota; Viridiplantae; Streptophyta; Magnoliopsida; Solanales; Solanaceae.
UGGUUGGUUUGUGGCAUUGUGACAUUGUAGCUGGUCUUUCACAUCACACCAAAUCCAAGGAAGGGUUAGUUAUAUCUAACAAGGAUAUAGAGAGUGACAUCAUGGAUCAAACAAAGAGUCAAAAAAUGAUAAUUUAAAGUAAGAGAUUGUGAGAUUAAGAAAACAAAUGAUGGGAAUGUAUCGUGCUUGGACCAGUGAGCUGCCUCCUCCUCCA